GCCUGACGGAGCACGCCGCGUGAGUGAGGAAGGUCUUCGGAUCGUAAAGCUCUGUUGCCAAGGAAGAACGGCCCGGAGAGUCACUGCUCCGGGAGUGACGGUACUUGAGAAGAAAGCCCCGGCUAACUACGUGCCAGCAGCCGCGGUAAUA
This 151-nucleotide ribosomal RNA is filed under the name Paenibacillus sp. LDC-8-b1. Its description in RNAcentral is "partial 16S ribosomal RNA". It matches the Rfam family "Bacterial small subunit ribosomal RNA", at positions 381 to 525 of the family's 1533-position model. The record is from RNAcentral. Lineage: Bacteria; Bacillati; Bacillota; Bacilli; Caryophanales; Paenibacillaceae.